RNAcentral lists this ribosomal RNA (495 nucleotides) under uncultured bacterium. RNAcentral's name for it is "partial 16S ribosomal RNA". It matches the Rfam family "Bacterial small subunit ribosomal RNA", at positions 28 to 506 of the family's 1533-position model. The record is from RNAcentral.
GAUGAACGCUGGCGGCGUGCCUAAUACAUGCAAGUCGAGCGAACAGACGAGGAGCUUGCUCCUCUGACGUUAGCGGCGGACGGGUGAGUAACACGUGGAUAACCUACCUAUAAGACUGGGAUAACUUCGGGAAACCGGAGCUAAUACCGGAUAAUAUAUUGAACCGCAUGGUUCAAUAGUGAAAGACGGUUUUGCUGUCACUUAUAGAUGGAUCCGCGCCGCAUUAGCUAGUUGGUAAGGAACGGCUUACCAAGGCAACGAUGCGUAGCCGACCUGAGAGGGUGAUCGGCCACACUGGAACUGAGACACGGUCCAGACUCCUACGGGAGGCAGCAGUAGGGAAUCUUCCGCAAUGGGCGAAAGCCUGACGGAGCAACGCCGCGUGAGUGAUGAAGGUCUUCGGAUCGUAAAACUCUGUUAUUAGGGAAGAACAAAUGUGUAAGUAACUAUGCACGUCUUGACGGUACCUAAUCAGAAAGCCACGGCUAACUACGU